CAGAAACAUCCCAUGGCGGCUGAGCCGUCCCGUGCCUUUCCCCAUGGAGGUAUCAUCCCGAUUCGAAAGGAAAAAUCAUCCAGAUUCGAAAUUCUUUCGCUAGGGUUAGGAGACCUGUUGGGAGAUGAUGCUUCCCUCUGGCAGGAUCCCCUCGUUCCGUGCUGGGCUGGCGAGCGUCGAGCGGCGCGGUUAAUUCCUCUCCGGCGGUUGUGUCCGGCCAAGCGUGCGAGUCUCCGAGCGUUUCGGGCAGGGCCGGCGAGUGGCGUUCCGGGCAGGGCCAGCGAGCAGCGCUUCUGAUUCGUCUCCGGCCAACAGUGCCAGUCCUCCGAGCAUUCCCCAUCGAUGUCAUACUAGAUCUAAUCCCAAGGUUUUCUGGUGGCAGUAAAGAUAUAUGCAGAUUUCAACAACAAAAAAGACUGUUGUUUGGAGUCGUAGUAGUGCACUGAUACGUCCUUCUGCGUGUGUACUCGAGUUGUGUGCUCAAUGUUUGAUGUAUAAGUGUGAGAUUUACUAUGGCUGUUCAGUUAGUGAUGUGUCUAUCUUGUAACAAAAUUCCCUAGCAUAAUGCGGUUGGAACAUUUGC
Molecule: ribosomal RNA, 583 nt
Filed under: Triticum aestivum (bread wheat)
Lineage: Eukaryota; Viridiplantae; Streptophyta; Magnoliopsida; Poales; Poaceae
Description: partial small subunit ribosomal RNA
Source: RNAcentral